Transfer RNA from Ipomoea nil (Japanese morning glory), 73 nucleotides. It matches the Rfam family "tRNA". From Rfam's summary of the family: Transfer RNA (tRNA) molecules are approximately 80 nucleotides in length. Their secondary structure includes four short double-helical elements and three loops (D, anti-codon, and T loops). Further hydrogen bonds mediate the characteristic L-shaped molecular structure. tRNAs have two regions of fundamental functional importance: the anti-codon, which is responsible for specific mRNA codon recognition, and the 3' end, to which the tRNAs corresponding amino acid is attached (by aminoacyl-tRNA synthetases). tRNAs cope with the degeneracy of the genetic code in two manners: having more than one tRNA (with a specific anti-codon) for a particular amino acid; and 'wobble' base-pairing, i.e. permitting non-standard base-pairing at the 3rd anti-codon position. Lineage: Eukaryota; Viridiplantae; Streptophyta; Magnoliopsida; Solanales; Convolvulaceae. The record is from Rfam.
GCUUGUCUAGCUCAGUUAGUAGAGUGUAAAGCUUUUAACCUUGUUGUUGUGGGUUCAAGCCCCACGAUGGGUG